UUGAAAAAGAGUUUCCGAAAGUCCAAACAUCGCAAAAAAAGAUUUCACGGAUACUGGACGCUCUGAUAAAUAAACGAAAGUCGAGGAUUACCAGAAGUUAAUUGUUAAUUAGUAAAAGCAGUUUUUGCAAUGGAGGUGGUUGACUGUGUUCGACGAGCAGCAACGACGGCGUCUCGUUGCCCUUAAUUGACAUCAUGAAUUACAACGCAAAUAACAAAAGCGAGCUCGUGUUAAAAGAUGGCACGUGGGUUUACCUUGAGGAGGUCGUGGUGCAUCGAUCUCAUCCUCUUCCUCUUUUUCCAUCUGUGAUGACAGGAGAAUGCGAUGACCCAGCACCAGGAAAUCCUGCAGAUGGUCGUACCAAAUCGCGAUUAAAAAGCUUCGCGUGGGGAAAGAUAUGUUGUGUACACGGCAUGUAUUAUAUCUAACGGAAGCUGGUCUAAAUUCUUUGGAACGACUCGCGUGCGCCUCAUCUCAUCUCACCGCGAGCACGAUGACAGCAUCCGGCGAUGACGUCAUACAAUUGCGACGCCGGCCCCCGCCACAGUCGCGAUGAUCGUGCACGAUGACGUCGGCGAUGAUCACAGAUCGGCGACGGCAACAGCAGGAGGAGGAAGGAGCUGGAGCCCCGAGUCGAGCCGGCAGGAAUCGACGGUGCACCGUUUCGUCGCGGGGCCCAGCCAGUUCCUUCCAGAUCGCCGUGUCGUCGACUUCUUUCGGA
Molecule: long non-coding RNA, 721 nt
Organism: Acromyrmex echinatior (Panamanian leafcutter ant)
Lineage: Eukaryota; Metazoa; Arthropoda; Insecta; Hymenoptera; Formicidae
Source: RefSeq, a predicted model, not a curated record